GGGCCUUGGUAGCGCAGCUAACGCGUGAAGUUGACCGCCUGGGGAGUACGGUCGCAAGAUUAAAACUCAAAGGAAUUGACGGGGACCCGCACAAGCGGUGGAUGAUGUGGAUUAAUUCGAUGCAACGCGAAAAACCUUACCUACCCUUGACAUGUCUGGAAUGCCGAAGAGAUUUGGCAGUGCUCGCAAGAGAACCGGAACACAGGUGCUGCAUGGCUGUCGUCAGCUCGUGUCGUGAGAUGUUGGGUUAAGUCCCGCAACGAGCGCAACCCUUGUCAUUAGUUGCUACGAAAGGGCACUCUAAUGAGACUGCCGGUGACAAACCGGAGGAAGGUGGGGAUGACGUCAAGUCCUCAUGGCCCUUAUGGGUAGGGCUUCACACGUCAUACAAUGGUCGGGACAGAGGGUCGCCAACCCGCGAGGGGGAGCCAAUCCCAGAAACCCGAUCGUAGUCCGGAUCGCAGUCUGCAACUCGACUGCGUGAAGUCGGAAUCGCUAGUAAUCGCGGAUCAGCAUGUCGCGGUGAAUACAUUCCCGGGUCU
This 542-nucleotide ribosomal RNA is filed under the name uncultured bacterium. RNAcentral describes it as "bacterial SSU rRNA". It matches the Rfam family "Bacterial small subunit ribosomal RNA", at positions 835 to 1381 of the family's 1533-position model. The record is from RNAcentral.